UGCAAUCGAGCGGCAGCGCGGGGGCAACCCUGGCGGCGAGCGGCGAACGGGUGAGUAAUGCAUCGGAACGUAUCCCGUAGUGGGGGACAACGCCGGGAAACCGGCGCUAAUACCGCAUAUGCUCUACGGAGGAAAGUGGGGGACUCGCAAGGGCCUCACGCUAUGGGAGCGGCCGAUGUCCGAUUAGCUAGUUGGUGAGGUAAAGGCUUACCAAGGCGACGAUCGGUAGCUGGUCUGAGAGGAUGAUCAGCCACACUGGGACUGAGACACGGCCCAGACUCCUACGGGAGGCAGCAGUGGGGAAUUUUGGACAACGGGGGCAACCCUGAUCCAGCCAUGCCGCGUGAGUGAAGAAGGCCUUCGGGUUGUAAAGCUCUUUUGUCCGGGAAGAAAAGGCAUCGCCUAAUAGGAGAUGUUCUUGACGGUACUGGAAGAAUAAGCACCGGCUAACUACGUGCCAGCAGCCGCGGUAAUACGUAGGGUGCGAGCGUUAAUCGGAAUUACUGGGCGUAAAGCGUGCGCAGGCGGUUCGUUAAGUCAGAUGUGAAAGCCCCGGGCUCAACCUGGGAAUGGCAUUUGAGACUGGCGAGCUGGAGUCUGGCAGAGGGGGGUG
RNAcentral lists this ribosomal RNA (613 nucleotides) under uncultured bacterium. RNAcentral describes it as "bacterial SSU rRNA". It matches the Rfam family "Bacterial small subunit ribosomal RNA", at positions 56 to 663 of the family's 1533-position model. The record is from RNAcentral.